CACUCCUACGGGAGGCAGCAGUGGGGAAUAUUGGACAAUGGGCGCAAGCCUGAUCCAGCCAUGCCGCGUGAGUGAUGAAGGCCCUAGGGUUGUAAAGCUCUUUCACCGGUGAAGAUAAUGACGGUAACCGGAGAAGAAGCCCCGGCUAACUUCGUGCCAGCAGCCGCGGUAAUACGAAGGGGGCUAGCGUUGUUCGGAUUUACUGGGCGUGAAGCGCACGUAGGCGGACUAUUAAGUCAGGGGUGAAAUCCCGGGGCUCAACCCCGGAACUGCCUUUGAUACUGGUAGUCUUGAGUUCGAGAGAGGUGAGUGGAAUUCCGAGUGUAGAGGUGAAAUUCGUAGAUAUUCGGAGGAACACCAGUGGCGAAGGCGGCUCACUGGCUCGAUACUGACGCUGAGGUGCGAAAGCGUGGGGAGCAAACAGGAUUAGAUACCCCUGUAGUCCCA
Molecule: ribosomal RNA, 447 nt
Filed under: uncultured organism
Description: partial 16S ribosomal RNA
Rfam family: Bacterial small subunit ribosomal RNA
Source: RNAcentral